UGUAAGCGUAUACCAAAGUUGUUGCAGUUAAAACGCUCGUAGUCGGAAUUUGGCAGUUCCGGAUGUGUGCACGUCGUGUGCGCACUUCGCGGGGAUUGCUUUUGUGGUCUUGCGUAGGAUGAGGCACUUUUAUUAGUGAACGUCCUCACGCAACCACUUUUUACUGUGAGAAAAUCAGAGUGCUCAAAGCAGGCAUUUGCCGUGAAUGUAUUAGCAUGGAAUAAUAGAAUAGGACUUGGUUCUAUUUUGUUGGUUUGUUGGGACUGAGUAUUGAUUAAGAGGGACAGUUGGGGGCAUUUGUAUUUCGGUGCUAGAGGUGAAAUUCUUAGAUUACCGAAAGACAAACUGCUGCGAAAGCGUCUGCCAAGGAUGUUUUCAUUGA
RNAcentral lists this ribosomal RNA (382 nucleotides) under uncultured eukaryote. RNAcentral describes it as "partial 18S ribosomal RNA". It matches the Rfam family "Eukaryotic small subunit ribosomal RNA", at positions 592 to 976 of the family's 1831-position model. The record is from RNAcentral.